Loxodonta africana (African savanna elephant) is the source of this 25627-nucleotide RNA transcript. It is a transcript of the gene named zinc finger protein 18-like, with no coding region annotated. The transcript has 8 exons. NCBI's taxonomy places the organism in Eukaryota, Metazoa, Chordata, Mammalia, Proboscidea, Elephantidae. The record is from RefSeq and is a predicted model, not a curated record.
GUAUAUUCAUUUAACAGAUAUUUGUUUAAAACCGUGUUUCCCUUUGGGCAGUGCUUCAGCUGUGUCACACAAACUUUGAUAUCUUGUAUUUUCAUUAUUUGUGGUUUUUUAGUUUGACCAUGGAUUAUUUGAGUGUUAAUAGUUGGAAAUCUUAUUGAAUUGUAACUUAAUUCCAUAUGUGCUGUAAGAUGCCGAUCUUUUGAAAUUUAUUAUGCACGUGGCCUACCUUGGUGAAUGUUUCAUAUGCUUGCGAAUGUGUAUUCUGCAGUUGCUGGGUCUCGUGGUUUGUGAAUUUCAGUAGAUUGAAGUCAGUUAACAGUUUUCUCUUUCCUAACUAAUUUUUUUUUCUGUCUGCUUGUUCUAUCAGUUACUGAGAAGGGUGUUAAAAUUUCCAACUAUGAUUGAGGAUGUGUCCCUUUAGACCUCAUAGUAAGUGCAUUCACAUUUAGGAUUGUCUCGAUUAAUUGACCCACUUCUCGUACUGAAAUGUCCCUCUUUAUUUCUCUCUUUGUCUUCAGGUCUACUUUGUCAGAUACUAACAUAGCCAUGCCAGGUUUCCUGUGCUUACUGUUUGCACAGAAUAUUUUUUUCUGUCCUUUCACUUUCAACCUUUCUGUGUCUUUAUAUUUAAAAUAUGUCUCUUGUGGACAAUGUAUCACUGGGUCUUGGCAUUUUACAAUCUGACAAUCUCUGCCUUGUGAUUGGAGUGUUCAGUCCAUUUACAGUUCAUACAAUUAUUGAUAUGUUGGGUUUUAGCCUAGUAUCUUGCCUUGCCUUUGAUCUUUCUGUUGUUUCUUGUUUGCUCCUUUCUUACGGCCUUUUGCGUUAUUGAGCCUUUUUCAGUACUCCUUUAUUGGCUUUUUAGUUGUACCUCUAUGCGUAAUAUUUUUAGAGCUAACAAUAUGCAUCUUAAACUUAUGAAAGUUUACUUUAAUAUUGCAUUGCCUUGUGCUUCACAUUUCUCAUUUCUCUCCUCUCACUUCAUACCUUAACACUUCCCAUUUCCCACCUGACACUUCCUGUCUCUUGCUUCCCACUUCCUACUUCCUACUUCUUAUUUCGGAGUUUGACCUUCACAAGUGUAAUAACGUAACAAGAGAUUAAAUCCAUUCACUCUGUCUUCUUAGUGCUAUUUAUAUAUUUUAUGUCUACAUAAGUGAUAUUGUAAUACUGUCAUUUUUGCCCUAAACAGUCAACUGCCUUUAAAGUAACUUAUGAGGAAGGAAAGCACAGAACUUUAUAUUGAUUCAUUUAUUUAUCAUUUCUUUUGCUCUUUAUUCCUUUUUGUAGAUCCAAGUUUCCCUUCAACUGGAAGAACACCUUUUAGCAUUUCCUGUAGUGCAGGUCUACCAGUGACAGAUUCUGCUAGCUUGUCUAUUUGAAAAAUGUCUUUAAUUCUUGUUUUUAAAGGAUAUUUGUUGCUGGAUGUAGAAUUUUUUGUUGACAGUUUUUUCCCCUAGAGCUUGCACUUGGUUCUUUUUAUAUUUUCCAGAGUCCCUAUGUCUUCUCUCAUUGAGACUCUAUUUUUCUUUAAGUCCUUGGACCAUCUCAGGGUUGGUUUCUCUUGACUGCUUUCUUACUUGACUUUGGGUCACAUUUUCCUGUUUCUUUACAUGUCUAAAAGUUUUGGAUUAAUUCUGGGUAUGGUGGGUGAUACAUUGUGGGCUAAGGAUUCUGUUAUAUUCCGCUGCAGAGAGUUGGUUUUUGUUCUGGCAGGCAGUUCACUUAUUGACUGAUCAUCCUCAACUUGUGUAGGCUUGGCUUUGUGCUUUGUCGUGACAAAUCUUUGGAAAGUGUAACGUGUUUCUCAAGUCAUCUGAACUCGAUGAGACCAAGCACUAGACUGGGUCUCCCCUGUGGAUCUUGUUGAGGCUUGGUUUUAGGCUUUGUUAGCCUAGGUUUAGACUAGGCCGUACUCUAGGGGAUGGUCUUUACGCCUAACUUGUGGUCUUUCUGGUUUCUCAGGGUGCACUGGAUGUUAAUGAGGCCACUGAUUGUUCUUUUCUAUCUCUCUUUUGCUCUUAACCCUAUAGUGGCUGUUCUUUGUUAAUAUUUGUGUAGCUUCACCCUGUUCAUGUGAAGCCCAACCCUUUGCCAGGCACUCUUGGUGAAACCCCCCCCACAGACUGCCACCCCACUGCCAUAGCUCCCUCCUCUCCAGGGCCCUGUCCUUCAGAUUCCAACCACUUCAGCAGCUCUGAAGUCUGAUCUCUGCCUCCUCAACUGUGUGCUGUGUGAGCUUUGGCUUCUGCACAGUACUUGGAAAAUUGUCCCCAAGCAGACAGCUAGGAUGACUGUGGGGUCACCUCAUGAGUCCAUUCCUGCAGGGAUUGCACUCUCCCCUGCCGAUUGUGCAGUGCCUUAAAACAAUUCCUCAUAUGUUUUCUCGCUGUUUGCAGAGGGUGGGCUUGUCUAUAAUACCAGUUACACUGCUAUGACCAGAAACUGAAUUUCCCAACAAAUAUUUGUUAAGCAUUUAAUGUAUGUCACACGCCCCGUGAAUAUAUGAAUGAAAUGUGUGGGUUUCCUUUUAAACAAAAAAUAAGUAUACUGACAUCUAUAAGGAACCCUGGUGGCACUGUGACUAAGAGCUAUGGUGAGCUAUGGCUUCUAGUCAAAAAAAGGCUGGCAGUUUGAAUCCUCCACCUACUCCUUGGAAACCCUAUGGGGCCAUUCUAUUCUGUCCUUUAGGGUUGCUAUGAGUUGGAAUCAACUCGACAACAACGGGUUUGGUUUUUUGGUUUUGGAGCUGCUUAAGAGAAACAUUAAUAGUGAAUGAAUCCCUUUUACCUCUUUUUUUUGCCUUUGAAAAACCUUGCUCUCUUCAGUUUCUACAUGAUUUUCUUAUUUAGCACGAGUUGUUUGGGUAAAGUGGUAGAGAUGAGGACAUUACUUUUUAUACCUCAAGGAAAAAGCAGCUAUUAAAAGCUAGAUAUUACCCUAACCACAGAUUAAGCCAGACUCUCAAGUGACUGUCUUUAAAACAUCAUCAACAGGUAUAUCUGUUGAUAGUUGUAGUUAGUAUUAUGGAUUAACGAUGGUCUGAUAUUUAUAUCCGAAACAGCUCCUUCAUAACUUUUAAGGAUUGCCCAGUAAUCCAAUACAGUAUGAGGAAUACGGGCAAGAAACCGAACUAGAAAUAGUGCAUGCUCCUUUAAAAAAUAUCUUAAUAAUAUUAACUGCCAUUUAGUAUUUUUCUUCUCGCUGUCAUAGUUGCUGUCUUUGAAAUUUUUAUAGCAUUAGCCAUAAAACAGCGAUUUCUUAGUUCAAGGUAAUAGAAGUGUUGUCAGGUAGUCGGUAUUUGUUCUAAACACCCUUUGAGCCCAAAGUUAAAAAUUUCGGAUGUGACAGGUUUCCCAUAACUUCACAAACACACCAGGUUUCAACAUGGCACUCAAAAGAGGUCACUUGGAAAUUUCAUUGUACCUCUGGGGGAGAGCUGUUUUGUUCUCUUCAAGCUCAUCGUUAUUAUGGAAGCAUCUGAUCAUUUCAACGCAGGGCUUUAUUUCUAAGGCGCUGGUGGCUUCUUCCAGCUUUACUUUUCAGUCUGUAGAUAGAUGUGGAUACAGAAGUGUUAGGUGCAGGAGAGCUGUUUACCUGGAAGCCCAGAGUGAAAAUGUUUAUGAGUGUCCCUGCGAGAGGCUCUGCCAAGACCUGCUUCUCCCUAGAGAGCCAUUCCAUCCCAGGAGCACUUCUCCUAAAGUGAGAGAACUUGCCAAGCCUGAUGAUGCCAGUUGACCUGGGGCAGCCCCUGGUCCUGCUGCCACCACUGGCAAAGGCUGAGGACCCCCCAUUCCCUGGACCAGAUGCUGCCCCUCAAGGAGGUGUCUCCGGCCCUGAAACUGCCCGGCAGCUUUUUAGGCAGUUUCGAUACCAGGUGAUGUCUGGGCCCCAGGAGACCCUGAGACAGCUCCGGAAGCUGUGUUUCCAGUGGCUACAGCCGGAGGUUCACACCAAGGAGCAGAUCCUGGAGCUCCUCAUGUUGGAGCAGUUCCUGACCAUCCUGCCCGGGGAGAUCCAGACGUGGGUGCGGAAACAGUGCCCAGGCAGCGGAGAGGAGGCAGUGACCCUGGUGGAGAGCUUGAAGGGAGACCCCCGGAGACUGUGGCAGUGGAUCAGCAUCCAAGUUCUAGGACAGGAAAUCUUCUCAGAGAAGACAGAAUCUCCAAGCUGCCAGGUGGGGGAGGCUGAGUCCCAUCAUGACGUGAUGCUUCAGGAGCUGGGACUUCCGAAUUCAGCCUCAGAGCCUGCUGAGCAACCAAACCACAUUGUGAAAGAGGAAUCCGACGCUGAGCAAGAGUUAGUGAUGGUUGCCUCCCAGCUCCUUGCCCGACCUGAGGAAAGACUUGUCAGAGACCAGGACCUUGGAGCCUCACUUCCCGAAGCAUCAUCUCAGGAGCAGUGGAGGCACCUGGAUUCUACUCAAAAGGAACACUACUGGGAUCUCAUGCUGGAGACCUAUGGGAAAAUGGUCUCAGGAGGAGAUAGGCAGGAGAAUAACAAAGAGAACUUAAACUUGGAAAAUUAUAGGGAUCAGGAACCUCCAGAUGCCCCCCGUUACAUCUCAGGAGAGGUCCCUUCUCAGGCCUCCUCGAGUGGCUUCUUCAGUGAGGAUGAGCCAAGACACUUUGGAGAAGGAGAGCAUCUACGUGAGGCGCAGGGAAACCUCCAAGGAGAAGGGAGAGGGGAACAGCUCUCUCCUCAGGAAAAGAGUUCUGGGAAGCAGCCAGGCCAGCAUUUGUCAGAUUCUCACUCAGGAGACCUGUCUGUGCUGUGGGUCGAGGAGAAGCCAGAGGCCCCCCAGAAAGGUCAGCUGAGACCCCCCAUGGCCCAGAAGCUCCCUACCUGCAGAGAGUGUGGAAAAACCUUUUACAGGAAUUCUCAGCUUGUGUUUCACCAAAGGACUCACACUGGAGAGACGUACUUUCAGUGUGCCACCUGCAAAAAAGCCUUUCUGUGUAGUUCAGACUUUGUGAAGCAUCAGAGAAUCCACUCAGGAGAGAAGCCUUGCAAGUGCGAUUACUGUGGGAAAGGCUUCAGCGACUUCUUCGUAUUGCGCCAUCAUGAGAAAAUUCACACGGGAGAGAAACCAUAUAAAUGUCUCAUCUGUGAGAAAAGUUUCAUUUACAGGUCAAACUUUAAUAGACAUCAGAGGGUCCACACGGGAGAGAAACCUUAUAAAUGCUCCCGCUGUGGGAAAACCUUCAGCUGGAUCUCGAGCCUCGAUAAACAUCAAAGAUCCCACUUGGAGGCUGAUAUGAAAUGUGGCGAGUACCAGAACCAAGGUAAGUAGCAGUGACCCCCUGACCCAUCUGAGUGCUUAUGGUUGGGAGCAGGGAUAGAAAUUUUUUCACCCCACAUACUAUAAAACCAAUCCUAUUAAAGUAUAUGAUUCAGUGAUUUUUAGUAUAUUCACAAAGUGUCAAAUUCCAGAACAUUGAAAUCACCCCCCAAAAGAAACGCUGAAACCAUUAGCGGUCACCAUUAGCAGUAGGGUAUUGAAUUCUCUGUCUUUGUUGAGUUGUCUACUUCUUUUAAUUUUGUCAGUUUUUGCUUCAUGUAUUUUGGGGGCUCUGAUGUUAGGUGCGUAUAUGUUUAUAAUUGUUACAUCCUCUUGAUGGACUGACAUAUUUAUCAUUGUAAAAUAUUCUUCUUUGUCUCCAAUAACAAUUUUUGUCUUCAGGUAUGCUUUGUCUGAUACUAGUGUAGCUCCAUAGCUUUCUUUUUGUUUGCAUAGUAUGUAUUUUCUCUGUAUUUAUAAAGCGUUUGUGUUGUUGAAUCUAAAAUGUGUCUCUUAUAAGCAGCAUAUGAUUGGGUCAUUUAAAAAGUCCAUCCUACCAAUCUCUGUCUUUUAAUUGUAGUGUUUAAUCCAUUUACACUUAAUGAAAUUACUAAUAAGGUAGGAUUCACACCUGGCAUUUUGCUAGUUGUCUUCUCCUCCCAUUCCUCCAUUUCUGCCUUCCUUUGUGUUAAGUAGAUAUAUUUGACUGUACCAAUUUAAUUUCCUUGUUUUUUACCAUAGUUUUUAGUGGUUUUCUUGGGUAUUACAAUUAACAUAUUAAUUGAUAACAAUCUAGUUCAGACUAAUACCAACUUCAUUUCAUUAGAACACAAAAACUUUGCUCCUAUAUAACUCCAUUCCUUCCCUUGCUUUUGUGCUGUUGUUGUCAUACAAAUUACAUUCUUAUACAUUGCAUUCCCAUCCAUGCAAAUUUAUAAUUACUGCUUUAUGCAGUUGCCUUUAAAUUAGACAGGAUAACAAAGAGUUACAAAAAAAUAAAUACUACCUUUUAUAUUUAACUAUGUAGUUACCUUUACUAGUGCUUUUUAUUUCUUCAUGUGGAGAUACUGUCUAGUGUCCUUUCAUUUCAUUCUGAAGAACUGUCUUUAGUAUUUCCUGUAGGGCAAGUCUCCUAGUGACAGAUUCUCUCGAUUUUUGUUUUUUAAUCUGGGAAUGUGUUAAUUCCUCCUUUAUUUUUGAAAGACACUUUUCUGGACAUAGAAAUCUUGGCUAACAGUGUUUUUCUUGGCACUUUGCAUAUGUUAUGUCCCACUAUCUUCUGGCCUUUAUGAUUGCUGAUGAGAAAUCAGCUCUUAAUCUCAUUGAGAAUCCUUUAUAAAUGAUGAGUUCCUUUUCAAUUGCUGCUUUCAAGAUUCUCUCUUUGUCUUUAUCUUUCAACAGUUUGAUCAUAAUGUGUGUCUUCAUGUAAAUCACUUUGAGUUUAUCCUACUUGGAGUUUGCUGAGGUUCUUGGAUGUAUAGAUUACUGUUUUUCAUCAACUUUGGGGAGUUUUUAGCCAUUUUUUUCCCUAAUAUUCUUUCUGUUCCUUCUUCUCUUUCCUCUCUUCGUGAGACUUCCAUUAUGUAUUUGUUGAUAUGCUAAAUGGUGCUGUAGAGGUCUCUGUGGUUUGGUCCCUUUUUCUUCAUUCUUUUUCUUUCUGUUCUUAAUGCUGGAUAAUCUCAAUCAACCUAUCUUCAACUUUGAGGAUUUGUCUGUCAACUCAAAACCGCUAUUGAGUCCCUCUAGUGAAUUUUCAUUUGUGGUAGUAUACUUUUGUACUCUAGAAUUUUUUUUUUCUAUCUUUACUAAUAUUCUCUAUUUGGUGAGACAAUGUUUGCAUACUGUCCUUUAGACAUGGUUUCUUUUAGUUCUUUGAACAUUUAAAAUAGCUGAGUUAAAGUAUUUUAAUUUCUUGUUUAAUUUUUGUUUCUUUGUGUGUCUCCUAGUCUUUUUUUUGAAAAAUGGACAUUUAAAUAAUACAGUGUGGCAACUCUUGAAAUCAGAUUCUCCCCCUCCCUAGCGUUUGUUGUUGUAUGUUUGUUUAGUGACUUUUCUGAAUUGAUUACCUGUAAAGGUUGUGUGCUUUGUCAUGUGUGGUCACUGAACUGCCAUGCUUGGUUAGCUUAGCAGCCAGCAAAUGAUUGGACAGAGAUUUAUUUAAAUGUGUGGAACCAGUAAGUCUCCCUGUCUUUGCUGAGGGGCUCUGUGUGUGUUUUGGGACAUGUCUUCAAUUCUAAAACAAACGGGUUACAGCUCUGUCUUAGUUUUUACUUCCUGCUUGCAGAGAGCCUCAACAUUAGACAGAGAUGUGAACUUAGGACCUAAUUUAGUCUUUCUUGAGCAUGUGCACAGUCCUGUACAUGGGUAUUGACUUUUACAUUCCCAUGGAUAUGUCAGAGCUUUUUAAAACCUCUACUGCUUGCGUAGAGCCUCAAGAUUAGCCAGAAAUGUGAGUUUACAAUGUUAUUAUGUCUUUUUUGGGCAUGUGUACAGCUCUGGGCAUGUACACAGUCCUGUACAUGGAUAUUGCCUUCUAGAUUCCCAUGGAUAUGUCAAAGCUUUUUAAAACCAACUAUGGACUUCAUGGCUGGCACAAAUGGUUAUGUGCUCAAAUACUAACUGAAAGGUUGGUGGUUUCAACCCAUCAGAGGAGCUUUGGAAGAAGGACCUGGCAAUCUCCUUCCAAAAGGUCUCGGCCUUGUAAACCCUAUGGAGUGCAGCUCUACUGUGCAACACAUGGGAUUGCCUGGAGUUGGAAUCAAUUAUAUGUCAACUGGUUUCAUUUUUUUUUAAAUCAGCAUCUGUUUCCCAGCUUUUUCUUUUAAGCUUUUUGAUUAUUCUAUUGUUUGCCCCACUGUCUCAGGCAGUCUCUUUGUUAAACAGUUGACUUUCAUUGUUUUUCACAAAUGCCCCUGGUAAAAUUUUUCUGAGAAUGGGGUUUUGAAAGUGCUCUGGCCGUGUUUUACUUUUUUCGGUAACUGCCAGGCUUCUAGUUUUCGUUGUGAUUCCAGGUUGUUGGUUUUUAAGGCUGCUCCAGAGCUGGGAAUAGGGCAAGUUAAAAGGUCACAAAACUUGUUCUUUUACUGAGGUUCAGUCAAUUUUCUUCAGAAAGCAUUCCCUGUAUUGCUGUAAACCUUUGGUUAAUUUCCAGAGUUCUGAAAAAUUUGGUUCAAUGUUCUCAUUGUUUUAUGGAUGAGAGGAUUUUUUGGAGGUCCUUAGUCUAUCAUUUUGCUGACAUUAUGGGACACUUGAUCAAAGUAAAAAAACUGUUCCAUGGUCCAGUUUCUGACUCAUCUUAAUUUCUUCUUCUUGCUGACAGGCUGAUAACCUUUACACAGAUCCAAGCCUGUAACCCAGGAAUAUUUGCCCUGUUGUUAGUUAAGACAGGAGGUGCCAGCAGGUCACCAGUAUAUUCCAUUAGGACUUGUAACGGGGAUGGCUGUCCCAUCCCAAUGUGUAGGAUGUUGUGAGGAAAUAUUUGCCCAAAGCAAAACAUUUUUACAAUCUAUUCUUAAAAUAUUUUUUGUAGUCAUUCUGUAACUGAUCACCUCCUUCCUGGCAUGCCUGCCUGUAAUUUACCCUUGUAGCAAAUCAUGUAAAUCCAUUUAUAGCAUUGUAACCAAUCUAAGGAAAAGUGUCACUUUGAAAUGUCCUGCCCCAACCUCAUUGACAGCUUUUAAACCAAUCUGAAUAUUGGAAUCUAACUUUCUCCUUUAACCUUAUAAUAAUGGUUUCAGUACCACCCCUCUGGAUUCACAGUGUUCACUUACAGGAGGACUGUGAUUCCUGACUCAAAUGUUUUUGUCCUUUCACAAAUCCUUGUGCUUGAUUUAACAUAAUCUGAGAGUUUUGUUCUCCGAGACGUUUUGGAAUACUCUACAGGAUUUGGAGCCGUCUUUCCUCCUAGCAGACCCCCAAGGGACGAGGAUUGGAGCCAGUAGCUGGCAUGGGACUUUUUGAGCAUGUUUCAUUUUUGCGCACCCCAUAGACACCAGGAGGUAAGCGCUCCCACAUUCGAACCCCAUAAUUUGCAGUCUGGUUUCAGGAUGUAUUGAUAAGCUUUCUUUAUUUUUGUUUCUCUUGCUUUUACUUUUGUUCCUACCCAUGAACUGGACAUUUUGGAGAACUUCCUUUUCUAACAGACUUUCCUCAUUUGUGAGGAAAGGCUGUCAUCUCCUGGCAUGUUUUGGUAACACAGCAGGACUUACUAUACUUUCUCUAGGGGCACAUCAGGUUUUAGUGUGCCUUGUUGGCACGUGCUUCUGUUAGUAAGAUGGAUAAUGCCAUAUCUAAGGACUGCUCAGGGCCACUGCCCAGAACUCCGCCGCAUAUGUGGCCUCGAUACUGUUUUACAUAGUGGUUGUUAGCAUUCUAUUACUAGAAAAAAUUUAAAUAAUUCAUGGCCAUUUGGGACAGAUUUGACCUAGGAAAAUUAACAUCUCUGUGCUGUAAAUUGGAAAAUAGGGGUAUCCAGAUAAAGCCAGCCCAACGGGAAGCUUAUUUUCACUGGUAUUUAGAAGAUCCCAAAAGGAAUUAGGAAAGUAAAUUUGCUUCUUUAAAGAUACAGUGUCUAAAUAGGCACAACAAAUUUAAGAGCUCCAGUGUUGGACCCCUAUCCCUUUGUCUUAUCCCUUCUUUGGCCAGCCUUUCUCCCUCUGCCCCACCUUCUCCCUCUGUUACCCUGGCAGCUGCCUCUAUCUAUCCAACUUUGCCUUCCUAUUCUGAAAAUCUUUUACCAGAACUCCCUAAGGACUCUAUCGAAAACCCUUUAACCCAGCUUUCCUACUAUCCUGAAGAUGCUCCAAAAGAAACCACUUCAGAGCCUAAACCCAUUUCAGAAAUACCUUUUUAAAUUCCUCCUACCCUUUUAAAAUUAGAUCCCCUGAAAUUUCUGGAGAUCCUCCCCAACUAAUUUUUUCCCCUCGGUCAAAGGCUGAACUCCAUGCUGUUAUAAAGGAGUUCCAUAACAAUCAUGAGGAUUCCUACAAAUUUACUGAAUAAUUUAGAAUUUUGACUGCAACCUAUCAACCUGGGUUACCUAACCUUCAUCAAUUUAAAUGCAUAUGUUAAUGGGACCUGGGGAUGCUCAUUUAUGGAUGAUGAAUGCUGGCUGGUGAAGCUCUGAGUGAUCUUUAUUUAUGAAGCCAAUAACUUCAUCCAAGGACCUUUUAAAAGAGUCCACAGUAAUGGCUAGGAGAUUGCUAAAAGCUGUUCCCAAAGCCUUCCCCCAGAAAAAAUGAUUUGUCCAAAGUCCAUCUUGUAAUCAAGGAAAAGAUGAAAUUGUUUACAAUCGUUGUGACAGGUUAGCAAGAGUUUUUGUGGAGCGCUCUGACUUGUCCUUAGCUGAACCAGGAGCCAAAGUUGCCUUUAACUGUAUAUUUCUACAUGAGCUCCACCUAGAAAUUGUUAACUUUGCUAAAUACUAUCAACUAGAUUGGGAAACUACCCAUGUUACCAAUCUAACUCACCUUGCCUACAAAGUGUCUCAAACUUUAGAACCGGGGCAGCAGGUUAGACAGAAUAAGCUAUUGACCUCUUAACUACAACACAACAAAUUGAUGGCUUCACAAUUACAAUCUACAAUUUAACAAACCUAGGGGUUCUUGUUGGGAGCAAACUAAGGAUUCCUCAAUCUGGGGUCACGGAAAUUUGCUAGUUUUUUAAAAAGCCUGCUCAUUUUAAGAGGGAUCGUCUUAAAGAUUAAACUGGGCAUUUUACAAUUUGCCCCACCAAAGCCUGAAUGAAGGGGCUCUGGGGGCAAAAUAGAGGAUUUUCCAAUGGUGGCCCUAGCGUCUCAAGGAAAAACUAUUGUUAAAGUUAAUUGGGAAAAUUGCAAAUUCCUUGUGAAUACAGGGACAACUCUCUCAGUCAUAAAACCUGAAUUCUUGCAAAAGCCUCUACCCUGGAGUAACGAAACCUCUAAGAUUGUGGGGGCCUCAAAUAAUGAGCAGAUUUUAAUACAUUCCUAGCCUAUCAUCAUUUCCUUGGGACCUGUCAAGGAAUGAACCCCUUCUUAUUAAGUCCAAAUACUCCUGUGAAUUUGUUAGGCAGAGAAUUUAAAAAAAAAUUUUUUUGUUUGUUCUUUAACUGAAACUUUACAAAUAAAGUCAGAAUCUUGCUAUAUACUCGUAGUUGCUCUCCCCCAAUGAGACAGCACAUUCUUUCUCUCCACCCUGUAUCCCUGUGUCCAUUCAGCCAGCUUCUGUCCCCCUCUGCCUUCUCAUCUCCCCUCCAGACAGGACCUGCACACAUAGUCUCAUGUGUUUACAUGAUCUUUGAGAAGCUCACUCCUAAUCAGUAUCAUUUUCUAUCUUAUAAAAAUAUAGUCCAGUCUAAUCCCUGUCUGAAGAGUUGGCUUUGGGAAUGGUUCUAGUCUUGGGCUAACAGAAGGUCUGGGGACCAUGACCUCCAGGGUCUUUCUAGUCUCACUCAGACCGUAAAGUCUGGACUUUUUACAAGAAUUUGAGGUCUGCAUGCCACUGCUCUCCUGGUCCCUCAGGGAUUCUCUAUUGUGUUCCCUAUCAGGGCUGUCUGCAGUUCCAGCUGGGCACCAUCUAGUUCUUCUGGUCUCAGGCUGAUGUAGUCUGUAAUUUAUGUGGCCCUUUCUAUCUCUUGGGCUCAUAUUUACCUUGCGUCUUUGGUGUUCUUCAUUCUCCUUUGCUCCGUGUUACCUGACACCAGUUGAUGCAUCUUAGAUGGCUGUUUGCUAGCGUUUAAGACCCCAGAUGCCACCCUCCAAAAUGGGAUGCAAAAUGUUUUCUUAAUAGAUUUUAUUAUGCCAGUUAACCUAGAUGUCCCCUGAAACCAUGGUCCCCAAACCUCCACCCCUGCUACGCUGGCCUUCGAAGCGUUCGGUUUAUUCAGGAAACUUCUUUGCUUUUGGUUUAGUCCAGUUGUGCUGACCUCUCCUGUAUUGUGUGUUGUCCUUCCCUUCACCUAGAUUUGGUCUUCUCUGCUAUCUUAUUAGUGAAUACCCCUCUCCUUCCCUCCCUCCCUCCCCCAUCUCGUAACGAUUAAAGAAUAUUCUCUGUUUAAACUAUUUCUUGAGUUCUUAUAAUAGUGGUUUCAUAAAAUAUUUGUCCUUUUGCAGCUGACUAAUUUCUCUCAACAUAAUGCCUUCCAGAUUCGUCCAUGUUAUGAAAUGUUUCACAGAUUCAUUGUUCUUUAUCGAUGCAUAGUAUUCCAUUGUGUGACUAUACCAUAAUUUACUUAUCCAUUUAUCUAUUGAUGGACACCUGGGUUGCUUCCAACUUUUUGCUAUUGUAAACAAUGCUGCAGUGAACAUGAGUGUGCAUACAUCUGUUCACUUGAUGGCUCUUACUUCUCUAGGAUAUAUUCCAAGGAGUGGGAUUGCUGGAUCGUAUGGUAGUUCUGUUUCUAGCUUUUGAAGGAAGUGCCAAAUCGAUUUCCAAAGUGGUUGUACCAUUUUACAUUCCCACCAGCAGUGUAUAAGUGUCCCAAUCUCUCUAUAGCCUCUCCAACAUUUAUUAUUUUGUAUUUUUUGGAUUAAUGCCAGCCUUGUUGGAGUGAGAUGGAAUCUCAUUAUAGUUUUGAUUUGCAUUUCUCUAAUGGCUAAUGAUCAUGAGCAUUUCCUCAUGUAUCUGUUAGCUACCUGAAUGUCUUCUUUAGUGAAGUGUCUGUUCAUAUCCUUUGCCCAUUUUUUAAUUGAAUUAUUUAUCUUUUUGUGGUUGAGUUUUUGCAGUAUCAUGUAGAUUUUAGAGAUCAGCCACUGAUCAGAAAUGUCAUGGCUAAAAACUUUUUCCCAAUCUGUAGGUAAUCUUUUUACUCUUCUAGUGAAGUCUUUGGACGAGCAUAGGUGUUUGACGUUUAGGAGCUCCUAGUUACCUAAUCUCUCUUCUGGUGUUUGUACAGUUCUAGUAAUGUUUUAUAUACUGUUUAUGCCAUGUGUUAGGGCUCUUAGCAUUGUCCCUAUUUUUUCUUCCAUCAUCUUUAUCUUUUUAUGUUUUAUAUUUACGGCUUUGAUCCAUUUUGAACUCAUUUUUGUGCGUAGUGUGAGGUAUGGGUCUUGUUUCAUUUUUCUGCAGAUGGAUAUCCUGUUAUGCCAGCACCAUUUGUUAAACAGACAGUCUUUUCCCCAUUUAAUGGACUUCGGGCCUUUGUCAAAUAUCAGCUGCUCAUAGGUGGAUGGAUUUAUGUCUGGAUUCUCAAUUCUGUUCUGUUGGUCUAUGUAUCUGUUGUUGUACCAGUACCAGGCUGUUUUGACUACUGUGGCAGUAUAACAGGCUCUAAAAUGAGGUAGAGUGAGGCCUCCCACUUUGUCCUUCUUUUUCAGUAAUGCUUUACUUAUCCAAGGCCUCCUUCCCUUCCAUAUGAAGUUGGUGAUUUGCUUCUCCAUCCUAUUAAAAAAUGUCACUGGUAUUUGGAUCUCGAUUUCAUUGUAUCUAUAGAUCGCUUGAGUUGGAAUCGACUCGACGGCACUGGGUUUGGUUUUUGUUUUUUUUAUAGAUCGCUUUGGGCGGAAUAGACAUUUUUACAAUACUGCGUCUUCCUCUCCAUGAGCAAGGUAUGUUUUUCCACUGAUGUAGGUCUCUUUUGGUUUCUUUCAGUAGUGUCUUAUAGUAUUCUUUGUAUAGGUCUUUUACGUCUCUGGUUAGAUUUAUUCCUAAGUAUUUUAUCUUCUUAGGGGCUUUUGGAAAUGGUAUUGAUUUGGUGAUUUCCUCUUCAAUGCUGUCUUUUUUGGUGUAGAGGAAUACAGCUGAUUUAUGUAUGUUUAUCUUGUAUCCUGAUACUUUGCUAAACUCUUCUAUUAGUUUCGGUAGUUUUCUUGAGGAUUCUUUAGGUUUUUCUGUAUAUAAGAUCAUGUCAUCUGCAAACAGAGAUACUUUUACUUCUUCCUCACCAAUCUGGAUGCCUUUUAUUUCUUUAUCUAGCCUAAUAGCUCUGGCUAGGACCUCCAGCACAAUGUUGAAUAAGAGUGGUGGUAAAGGGCAUCCUUGUCUGGUUCCUGUUCUCAAGGGGAAUGCUUUCGGUCUCUCCCCGUUUAGGAUGAUGUUGGCUGUUGGCUUUGUAUAAAUGCCCUUUACAGUGUUUAGGAAUUUUCCUUCUAUUCUUAUUUGGUUAAGAGUUUUUAUCAUGAAUGAGUGUUGAACUUUGUCAAAUGCCUUUUCUGCAUCAGUUGAUAAGAUCAUGUGGUUCUCGUCUUUUAUUUAUGUGAUGGAUUACAUUGAUUGUUUUUCUAAUGUUGAACCAUCCCAGGCAAAGACUUUUAAUCUAAAUGGAAUUGUCACAUCAGAUUUACUGAUCAAGGAGAAAUUAUCUUUGUUUUGCCAGCCAACCUUUUACUUCCCAAACAUUUAGACUCAAAGGAGGUCUUGUGCCACUUCAAGGUCCUUACCUUCUCUCUACAGGCUUCCAAGUCCCAAGAAGCUAUGACUUUUAAAUGGUUUUUCUACUAUACCAGGUUUAUGAACCAACUCUUCCACUGAUGUUGGUCAGAUUUUGUCAAUAGAACCUAUUAAAGUUCAGAUUAUGACCUCUAAACAUUUACCUAAAGUCCCUCAGUACUUUUUAAAAUGGGAGCCAGAGAUAGAUUGACCCCCAUAGUUCAAGAUUUUCUGACCAAGAGGCUCAUUGCUCCUUCCACUAGCCCAUGGAACACUUCAGUACUUUUAGUGAGGAAACCCAGUGGUCUGUGGUUGGAGAUUGUACGAGAUUAGAGGGCACUUACCAUAUUGUCAUCCCAAGAUUUCCUGUGAUGGCUGACUCCCAUUUGCUUUUGUAUAAUGUAACCACUACCAGAUGCAACUGAUUUUACAGUGAUAGAUUUAUGCAGUGUCUUUUCAGUAUCCUAGUGCAUCUAUACCAGUAUCUGUUUGUAGUUACCUGGGAAAAUCAACAAUAUACCUGGAAUGUUGUGCCUCAGGGAUUUACUAUAUCUCCAACCAACUUUUUCUCAGAUUUUAUAUGCUGAUAUGCAGUCCCUGUGGUUUGCUAAGUGAUCUACCUUAUUAUAGUAUGUAGAUGAUCUGGUCUGUUAAAAUUUAUUGCAAACCUGCCUAGAAGAUAUCGUUUUACUUUUACAACAUUUGUCCACUAAAGUGCACAAAGCGUGUAAAGAAAAAUAACAAUUGGUAUUAACAUCUGAUAGAUACUUGGGACAUAUAAUAUUGGCUAAAGUUAUCUCUAUAGACCUCAAAAGAAAGGAUGCCAUUAUGGCCUUUCCUAACCCCAUAACAAAGAAGCAAUGAAGGGGAUUUUGGGGCCUUUGUGGCUACUGCUGCAUGUGGAUUCCUGACUUUUCACUGAUGGUCCAACUCUUAUACCAGUUUUUAAAGGGAUCAGCAGCUGACCCAUUUCAGUUAUCAGAGGAAGGCAUCUAAGCCAUGUCUAAAUUAAAGGAAUCCUUGCUCACUGCUUCAGCCUUAGGAUCUCCGAAUUAUAAUUUGGAUUUUUCUUUGUGUGUUUUUCAAACAGCUGGCAGUGCUUUAGGAAUCCUCACUCAGACUCAUAGGGGCUGACAGAGAUCUCUGGGGUAUUACAGUUUGCAGCAAGAUCCUGUGCCCCAUGUCUCAGGGCAGCGGCUAGAUCUCUGGGGUAUUAGAGUUUGCAACAAGAUCCUGUGCCCCAUGUCUCAGGGCAGCGGCUACCAUGGCCCAAUUAGUAGAGGCUACAUUUGACAUUGUGCUUGAAAAUUUCUUUGAAGUGUGUGUUCUACAUAUUGUAGCUGCUAUUUUAAAUUCUACACAAAUUCAACAUCUGUCGGCUAGCAGAAUAACCCUUUACCAGGUUCUUCUUUUGGCUGCAUCUAGCAUUAGACUGCACACUGUAAAUUCCUUAAACCAGCCACUUUAUUGCCUUCACCUGAUGAUGAUACUGUCCCAUAUGAUUUUCUUAACACCCGGGUAAGACUUACAGGAAUCACAUCACUUCCUGAAUGUGAUCAUUAAGGUUGUGUGUCACCUUGGCUGGGCCAUAAUUCUAAGUCAUCUGGCAGUUAUUAUUAGUUUGGCAGUUGUAUGAUGAUGUGAUCAUUUCCAUGAUGGGAUCUGCUCUGAAUAGUCAGUCAGCUGAAAGGAAGUUUCCUUGGGUAUGUGGCCUGCAUUGAAUAUAAGUGGACUCGCUGGCAAGGCUCAAGGGCUUUUGCUUGCUUUGGAUCCUGCAGCUGGCUCCUGUUCAUCUGACCUCUGGUUCUUGGGACUUGAGCUAACAGCUUACCUGCAGUCUUGUCUGCUGAUCUUGGGAUUUGUGGGUCUCUGCAGCUUGUGAGCAAGAGCCCUGCUGUCUCACCUGCUGAUCUUGGCUUCAUCAGCCCCUGUGGCUACACGAAUCAAGAGAAGCCUCCAGCCUGACGUACAGAUUUGGGACUUUUCAGCCUCUACAGCCAUGUGUGACAUUUCCUUGAUAUAAAUCUCUCUCUCUCUCUCUCUAUGCUUUACUGGUUUUGCUUCUCUAGAGAACCUAGCCUAAGACGUUUGGUACUGAGAUUCAUUUUAGAGAAACGAAAUUGUAAGGGUGAAUUUUCUAAAUUGGUUCUCAGGUCUAGUUAGUGUUAAAGAUGUUGAUGACUCUGCUUCUAGUAGUAAAGAGGACACUGCUAAUCCAUGAUGUGAGGUGGCGAUAAAAAUAUGCAGAAUAUCACCACCAGUAGAUUAGGUAUUGGUGAAAGGCAAGGCUGUCGGUGAUCGCAUGUGUGAUAUCUUCAUACAACGUUGUCAUAAUGAGAAGCAUAAGGAAGCUGAUUGGUGAGUCCUACUUUUGCUGGAUAAAAUGGUGAAAGAAAGAGAUGAGCUCAGGGCUUCAGACUGAAGGCUCAAGUGCUGCAUAAACAACCUCAAAGUUUGCUCUCAUGCCUUGAAAGUAAGCCUUAUUUCUUGUAGUAACAGAGCUGAUAUUGCCAAAAACCAAACCAUGAGUCUUAUUCUAAGAGUGGCUGAAUUAUAAUACCAACUCAACUGCCAAUCUCAAGAGGAGUCUGCAGUUAAAGUGAGGGCAUUGGCUGGGAAGAAAUGGGAUCCUGAAGCUUCGGAUGGGAAUAUAUGGGCAGAUAAUCAGGAAGCUGGGGACACUAAGCCCCUAAAUUCCAUUGAAUCACUCCUGCCAGCAGAACCAGCCCUCUCACUCCCUUCUGAAGAGAUUAUUCCAUCUGUGUCUGCUAAGCCAUCCUCCCCAGUAAAACCAUUAGCAUCUCCACCCCCGUCUGAUGAGAUUAAUCCGGCUGUGUCUAAACAGUCUUUGUCUGAGUCAUUGUCUGGGGCACCACUGGGGCAGAUGGCUUACAAGACAAUCCUGAAUGUUCUCAAAACACAUCCCCACCACCCAUUUUGACUUCUUGACCUAUAACUAGACUUAAGCCCCAGUGAGCCCCAAAAGGUGAAAUACAAAGUGUGACCCAGGACAAGGUACGUUACACUCCAAAAGAACUGCUUGACUUUUCUAUUAUGUACAUUCAGAAACCGGGGGGAAUAUGUGUGGGAAUGGCUGUUAAGAGUAUAGAAUAGUGAUACAAGGAACAUAAAGAUGGAUUAGUCUGAGUUUAUUGAUAUGGGCCCAGUAAGCACAGAUUCUUCACUCAUUUUUUCAGCUCAAAAGGUUAGGAAAGGAUCUAAUGGUUUAUUUGGUUAGCGUCUUAGUUAUCUAGUGCUGCUAUAACAGAAAUACCCCAAGUGCAUGGCUUUAAAAAACAGAAGUUUAUUCUCUCACACUUUAGGAGGCUAGGAGUACAAAUUCUUGGUACCACCUCCAGGGGAGUGCUUUCUCUUUCUGGUGGCUCUGGAUGAAGGUCCUUGUCAUCCAUCUUCCUCUGGUCUGGGAGCUGUUCAGUGCAGGGGCCCUGGGUCCAAAGGAUGCACUUUGCUCCUGGUACUACCUUCUUGGUGGUGUGAAGUCCUCCUGUCUCUCUGCUCACUUCUCUGUAUUAUAUCUCAAGAGAAAUUGACUUAAAACAACCUAAUCUUGUAUAUCAAGUCCUGUCUCAUUAACAUAACUGCCUCUAAUCCUGCCUCAUUAACAUCAUAGAGGUGAGAUUUACAGCACAUAGGAAAUCAGGUCAAAUCACAAAAUGGUGAGCAAUCACAAUACUGGAGUCAUGGCCUAGCCAAGUUGACACAUAUUUUUGAGGGACACAAUUCAAUCCACGAAAGUUGGGUCACUGAAGCAUGGAUUACGUGGUGGCCUACAGUAAAUCAAGCUGAAGUACUAGACCUGCCUUGGUAUACUAUAGAACAAGGUAUCCAAAGGCUUAGGGAAAUUGGCAUGUUAGAGUGGACUUAGCAGUUUAGGAAAACAGACCCACACCUGGACUGCCCAGAGGACAAAUCUUUUAACAUCAGUGAGGAACAAAAUUGUGAAGUGAGACCCAGCAUCCUGAAAGAUUGCUAUGAUUGCUAUUUUAUAUAAGUCAGAUUAGAUGGUGAGAACUUCCCUAAUUAAAUGAAGACACCUAACUACCAUGGGUCUGAUUGGACCCCAUAGGAGUAGGGGCCAAGUUGUGGUACUCAGUCAACAAAGAUAAGGUGGCCAUCGUUACCUUAAUGAACAGUGGAGUUAAAGCAGUAAUCAGAAUAGUCUGACUCAUAUGCACUUAAGGCAUUGGCUACUUAGUCAUGGUGUCCCUAGGAGUGAAAUAGGGAAUGUACUAAAUAUUUGCUUGACCUGUUCAAGCUGAAGAAUUCUAUGUCUAGUGAACACCAGUCUAACUCAUAUCACCAGAAUAGAGAGUAACAGCCCUUCAUUCAACUCUCACACUUGAGAGAGUUUAAAUACCCACAACCCCUUGAAUGAAGGGGAGGCCAGGUCCCCUUGAGGAAGGACCCUCACUACACUUCCAAAAAUUUAUACUAUGGCCUUCUAGGAGAGUGACUGUUCAUUGGGGAAAAGGAAGUAAUCAGAAUUUUCAGGGAUUAGUGGAUACUGGCUGUGAACUGACACUAAUUCCAGGAGGCCUAAAAUAUCACUGUGGCCCACUAGUCAGUGUGGGAGCAUGUGGAGGUCAGGUUAUUAAUGGGGUCUUAGCUAAUGUCUGGAAACCCUGGUGGCGUAGUGAUUAAGUGCUACGGCUGCUAACCAAAGGUUCAGCAGUUCGAAUCCACCAGGCGCUCCUUGGAAACUCUAUGGGGCAGUUCUACUCUGUCCUAUAGGGUCACUAUGAGUCAGAAUCGACUUGACAGCACUGGGUUUGAUUUUUGUUUUUUUGGUAGCUAAUGUCUGUCUCACUGUAAGUCCAGUGGGUCCCUGAACCCAUCUUGCAGUGAUUGCCCCAGUUCCAGAAUGCAUAAUUGGAAUAGGCAUACUCAGCCACUGGCAGAACCUCCACAUUGGAUCCCUGACAAAUGGAAUAAGGGCUAUUAUGGUAGAAAAAGCCAAGUAGAAGCCAUUGAAACUGCCACUACCUAGGAAAAUACUUAACUGAAACCAAUACCACAUUCCUAGAGGGGUUGCAGAGAUUACCGCCACCAUCAAGGACUUGAGAGAUGCAGGGGUGGUGAUUUCCAUCGCAUCACCAUUGAACUCACCUAUUUGGCCUGUGCAAAGACGGAUGGAUCUUGGAGAAUGACAGUGGAUUACCAGAAACUUAUCCAGGUGGUGACUCCAAAUGCAGCUGCUGUUCCAGAUGUAGCUUCAUUGCUUGAGCAAGUUAAGGCACCUGGUACCUGGUGUCCAGCUGUUGGUAUGGCUAAUGCCUUUCCUCCAUACCUGCUUCGAAGGACCACCAGAAGCAGUUUGCCUUCAGCUAGCAAGGCCAGCAAUACACCUUCAGUUGCCCACCUCUGAGCUAUAUCAACUCUCCCACUCUAUGUCAUAAUUUAGUCCAAAGGGACCUUGAUCGCCUUUCCCUUCCACAAGACGGCAUGCUGGUCCUUUAUGUUGAUGAUUGUCAUGGAUUGAAUUGUGUCCCCCCAAAAUACCUGUCAACUUGGCUAGUUCAUGAUUCCCAGUAUUGUGCUGUUGUCCAUCAUUUUGUCACCCGGUGUGAUUUUCCUAUGUGUUGUAAAUGCUACCUCUGUGAUGUUAAUGAGGUAGGAUUACCCGCACCUAUGUUAAUGAGGCAGAGCUCAAUCUACAAGAUUAGGUUGUGUUUUAAGUCAAUCUCUUUUGAGGUACAAACGAGAGAAAUGCUGGAGAAGCUCAAUACAAUCAAUCACAAGAAGGCCACGGGCCGACCACAGAACAGACCAUCAAUUACUCAUAUGCAAAUUCAAGCUAAGUUGAAGAAAAUUAGAGCAAGCCCAGGAGAGCCAAAAUACAGCCUUGAAUAUAUCUCACCUGAAUUUGGAGACCAUCUCAAGAACAGAUGUGAUGCAUUGAACACUAAUGCCUGAAGACCAGAGAAGUUGUGGAAUGACACCAAGGAUAUCAUACAUGAAGAAAGCAAGAGGUCAUUAAAAAGACAGGAAAGAAAGAAAAGACCAAAAUGGAUGUCAGAAGAGACUCUGAAAGUUGUUCUUUAGAGUAGCUAAAGCAAAUGAAAGAAAUUUAUGAAGUAAAAGAGCUGAACAGAAGAUUUCAAAUGGCAGCUUGAGAAGACAAAGUAAAGUAUUAUAAUGACAUGUGCAAAGACCUGGAGGUAGAAAAUCAAAAGGGAAGAACACGGUUGGCACUUCUCAAACUGAAAGAACUAAAGGAAAAAUUCCAGCCUUGAGUUGGAAUACUGAAGGAUUCUACGGGAAAAAUAUUAAACGUUGCAGGAAGCAUCAAAAGAAGAUGGAAGGAAUACACAGAGUCACUAUACCAAAAAGAUUUUGUUGAUCCAGGAUGUAGCAUAUGAUGAAGAACUGAUGGCACUGAAAGAAGAGGUCCAAGCUGCACUGCAGCCAUUGGUGUAAAACAAGGUGCCAGGAAUUGAUGGAAUACCAAUUAAGAUGUUUCAACAAAUGGAUGAAGCACAGUAAGUGCUCACUCACCUAUGCCAUGAAAUUUAGAAGACAGCUACAAGGCCAAGCAACUGAAAGAGAUCCAUAUUUGUUCCCAUUCCAAAGAAAGGUGAUCUAACAGAAUGUGGAAAUUAUAGAACCAUAUGAUUAAUAUCACACAGGAGUAAAAUUUUGCUGAAGAUCAUUCAAAAGCAGCUGCAGCAGCACAUUGACAGAGAACUGCCAGAAAUUCAAGCCAGAUUCAGAAGAGGAUGUGGAAAGUGGGAUAUCACUGCUGAUGUCAGAUGAAUCAUGGCUGAAAGCAGAGGAUUCCAGAAAGAUGUUUACCUGUAUUGUAUGUAAAGGCAUUUGACUGUGUGGAUCAUAACAAAUUAUGGGUAACCUUGGGAAGAAUGGGAAUUCCAGAACACGUAAUUGUGCUCAUGAGGAAUGUGUACUUACACCAAGAGGCUGUCACUGGAACAGAACAAGGGGAUACUGCAUGGUUUAAAGCCUGGAAAGGUGUGUGUCAGGCUUGUAUCCUUCACCAUACUUAUUCGGUCUGUAUUUUGAGCAAAUGAUCCAAGAAGGCUGAGUAUAUGAAGAAGAACGUGGCAUCAGGAUUGGAGGAAGACUCAUUAACAACCUUCGGCAUGCAGAUUACACAACCCUCCAUCUUGAAAGUGCAGAGCACUUACUGAUUGUUAUGGAUUGAAUCGUGUCCCCCCAAAAUGUGUGUCAGUUUGGCUAGGCCAUGAUUUCCAGUACUGUGUGAUUGUCCACCAUUUUGUCAUCUGAUGUGAUUUCCUAUGUGUUGUAAAUCCUAUGACUAUGAUGUUAAUGAGGUGGAUUAGCAGCAGUUAUGUUGAUGAGAUCUACAAGAUUGGAUUGUGUCUUAAGUCAAUCUUUUUUGAGAUAUGAAAGAGAGAAGCCAGCAGGGACAGGGGAACCUCAUACCAUCAAGAAAGCAGCACCGGGAACAGAGUAUGUCCUUUGGACCUGGGGUUCCUGUGUGGAGAAACUCCAAGUCCAGGGGAAGACUGAUGACAAGGACCUUCCUCCAGAGCCAACAGAGAAAGCCUUCCCCUGGAGCUGAGGCCCUGAAUUUGGACUUCUAGCCUACUAAUCUGUGAGAGAAUAAACUUCUGUUUGACAAAGCCAUCCACUUGUGGUAUUUCUGUUACAGCAGCACUAGAUGACUAAGACACUGAUGAAGAUCAAAGACCAGAGCCUUCAGUAUGGAUUAUACGCCUCAACAUAAAGAAAACAAAAACCCUCGCAACUGGACCAAUAAGCAACAGUGCGAUAAACAGAGAGGAUAUUGAGUUGUCAAGGAUUUAAUUUUACUUGGAUUCACAAUAAAUGUGGAAAAAUUCAUUUCCAUUGUCAUAUUAUCUACGUUUCUCUUGCUCAAUAGCCAUAUGUGGCUGAUGGCUACCUUAGACUGUGCAGAUAUGGAACACUGCCAUCAUCAUCAGUAGAUCUUCCAGAAAAUUCUAUUGAACAGCACAGCUUUGGACAGAAAGGCUGAGUUUUCUGUUUGAUAAAAGUAAGCUGUAGUAUAUAUAUUUUAGCCAGUUGCUAUGUUAAAAAUCUUAUAUAUUAUAGUUUUAAUGAAAUGUUUUUAGGUACAAAUAGUGGUGUAUAUUUGCUUGCCAAUCUGUGGUUAAGAAGAUGGUAAUAAACUCGUGUUAUUAAAAAAAUAAAAUUCAGUAUACUAAAAGGAAAAAAAAAGAGAGGCAAUAUUUAUUUUCCCCUUUAAAUGAAAAAUUUAAAAUUUUCUUUUGCCUCAUUGCAUGCAAAAGCUGGACAAUGAAUAAGGAAGACCAAAGGCGAUUUUAUGCCUUUUGAAUUAUUGUGUUGGUGAAGAAUAUUGAAUAUACCAUGGACUGCCAGAAGAAUAAACAAGUCUGUCUUGGAAGCCAGAGUGCUCCUUGGAAGCAAGGCUAGUGAGACUUUGCCUCACUUACUUUGGACAUGUGUUCAGGAGAGACCAGUCCCUGGAGAAGAAUAUCAUUCUGGGUAAGGUAGAGGUCAGCAAAAAAGAGGAAGACCCUAGACAAGAUGGAUUGACACAGUGGCUGCAACAAUGGGCCCAAACAAAGCAACGAUUGUGAGGAUGGAGCAGGACUGGGCAGUGUUUUGUUCUGUUGUACAUAGGGUUGCUAUGAGCUGGAACCAACACGAUGGCCCCUGACAACAUAACAAAAACAACAGAUAGGAAAGAAUGUAAUAUCAGAGUUGAAACAAUUUUUAACUUUCAUGUAGGCAAGGCUAAUUGGGCUCACUUUACUACUGAGAACUGUUUGGCUCACAGGGGACCCUCAGUCAUUUGUUGAAUGAAAGGCAACAAAGUCAUGCUUUGCCUUGGAUCUCUUCUAAUUCAGAAUAAUACAGCAUUAUGGAAGUAAGUGAGAUAGCUCUGAGAGGGCCUCAUAAAUAACGUGGUGUGUGAGAAGCCAGUGUAGAGUCAGGCCAGAGGAAAAAUAUGUUACUCAGAGUUGAAGCUGCUUUCACUAAGUGUAAGUGCAGAGGAAAUGUGGCUGAAGGUGAGCUUAGGACAGAUUUUUCUACCCACUAUCCAAGCCAGGCAGAGUAACCCACAGAUUUGAGAGGAAUUCAAAAUGAAAAACCAAGCCCAUUGUCAUCAGGUCGAUUCCCACUCAGGGCGCGCUAUGGAAUGGAGUGGAAUUGCUCCAUAGGGUUUCUAAGGCGUGGCUGAUAGAUUUGAACUGCCAACCUUUUGGAGAAAAAAAAAGAAAAAUUUGAAAGAAUUUUCAAUGGCCAAUUUACUUACACGCUUUAAUAAAACAAUACACCCAAAACAGAGUGCUGUUGUAUUUAGAGAGUCCCUGGGUGGUGUAAAUGGUUAAUGUGUUUGGCUGCUAAUCUAAAGCUUGGAGUUUCAGGUCCACCCAGAGGCACCCCAGAAGAAAGGCUGGAGGACCUACUUAGGAAAAAUCAGCCAUUGAAAGCCCUAUGGAGCACAAUUCUGUUCUUUUUUUUGUGUGUGUGUGCUUUUAGUGAAAGUUUACAAAUCAAGUCAGUCCCUCAUAUAAAAAUGUAUAUACACUUUGCUAUAUACUCCUAGUUGCUCUCCCCCUAAUAAGACAGCAUACUUCUUCUCUCCACCCUGUAUUUCCAUGUCCAUUCAGCCAGCUUCUGUCUCCCUCUGCCUUCUCAUCUCAUCUCCCCUCCAGACAGGAACUGCCCACAUAGUCUCAUAUGUCUACUUGAUCCAAGAAGCUCACUCUUCACCAGUAUCAUUUUCUAUCUUAUAGUCCAGUCCAAUCUCUGUCUGAAGAGUUGGCUUUGGGAAUGGUUCUAGUCUUCGGCUAACAGAAGGUCUGGGGACCAUGACCUCCAAGGUCCUUCUAGUUUCAGUCAGACCAUUAAGUCUAGUCUUUUUAUGAGAAUUUGAGGUUUGCAUCCCACUGCUCUUCUGCUCCCUCAGGGUUUCCCUGUUGUGUCAGGGGAGUCAUCGGGUAUAGCUGUGCACCAUCUAGUUCUUCUGGUCUCAGGCUGAUGUAGUCCCUGGUUUAUGUGGCCCUUUCUGUCCCUUGGGCUCAUAAUUACCUUGUGUCUUUGGUGUUCUUCAUACUCUGUGGAACACAAUUCUAUUCUGAUACCCGUGGGUUGCCCUGAGUUAGAAUUGACUUGAUACCAACCGUUUUUUUUUUUUUUUUUAAUUGUUUACUUUGCCACAGAACUGUUUUGGGUUUUGUUAAAUCUGAGUGUGUCUAUGGAAAAAAAAAAAACAUGUUGUAUAUGUGAAUGUUGCCUGUUACACAAGUUGAUGGGGGGAUAAAGGCCCCCUCUCCUGGAGUGGUCUCAUAACAUGACCCUGCCUAACUCUGCUGUAUUGGGCUAGACUGCGGGUAGUACUGGGAUAAGUGUGAUGAAAGUUACUGGUCCUCUGGCACCAUCUCUGAGAGCAGUGCCAGAGCUAGACAGACCUCAGACAGAACCCUGGCAGCCACUCUACUUUGCAUGCAGACAGAUGUCAUUUGUUACCCGGUGGUCACCUGUGGCUAAAUCCCCAACCGACUCAGUGUUACCGCAGGUUCUGGCCACAAGGGAAGCCAUAUAAGCCUCUAUUUCUCUGAGUUUCAUUGUAAGAAGAAAGGAUGUGCUUCAGUAAAGAUUAAAAUAUAUGCAAUGCUUAAUUUCCAACACCCUUGAGAAAUGAAAAGCCAUUUUGUUUGCAGAGAAUUAAAAUGUAUAACUUAGCUUUCUUAAAAAUUUGUCACAUGUACUGAUAAGAUUACAAUUUGUUUUGACACUGCUUUUACAUUUACUAGUUGAAUGUGGAAACGAUGGAACUAUAAGGAAUGUACUGCCUCUUAGGUUCUGCCAGUUUGAGAGUGAAGCAGGAACAAUUUAGGAGAAGGGGAAAUCAUCCACCCUGCAGUUAGGCUUCUGGGCUUCGGUACUUGCAUGGCUUUGCAGAGAAGCAGAAAUGACUCAUUUUCAGAGGCGCCCCCCACCUCCCUGCUGCUCCCCCCCGCCUUAAUUCAUGAAGUGUAAUUGUGUUCCC